CGUCACGAGAGGGCGAGUGUAGCGGCGUGUGUAUUGAUACGUCAUGAUAGAAAUUAACCAAUAGUAUAGCUGCUUACAUACAGGAUGGAUACGAAAUCGAAUGACAAUGAUCCAUGUUGCGGAUAUUGGCCUUUUUUGUUGACAUGAUUUCAAUUAAACAUGAGCCUUCUGUUACAGUUUGAGUCAUUGAGACUAAUCCCCUUUUCCUCAAGUGGCAUUCUUCACCAUUAAGAAUCUCUGGAAAGCUGUUAAAGAAAAAACAUAAAUUCAUUUAUAGCAGAUGCUUCCCUGGCCACCAUUCACUCCUGAUCUCUCACCAAUCGAACACAUUUGGGAUGUAAUUUGGAGGCCAUUUGCAGACCUUGCCAUUGCUGUGUUCUGAAAACGAACUGUGGCAAAUGGUUAAUAGGAAAUGGAAAACUGUUCCUCAGAACACCAUCCAUAGUCUCAUUGACUCUGUACCUAGAGAUGUAUUUCUUCGUGUAUCGCCAUCCAAAGUGAUCUGAGCCGACGCUGUUCUCGCUGUGUAUUAUGCAUAUCAUUUCGAAAUAAAGAUCACUUAUGGUUC
This 568-nucleotide long non-coding RNA is filed under the name Stegodyphus dumicola. Its description in RNAcentral is "uncharacterized LOC118194729, transcript variant X1". Lineage: Eukaryota; Metazoa; Arthropoda; Arachnida; Araneae; Eresidae. The record is from RNAcentral.